CAGCUAGUUGGUGAGGUAAUGGCUCACCAAGGCAACGAUCGGUAGCCGGCCUGAGAGGGUGAUCGGCCACACCGGAACUGAGACACGGUCCGGACUCCUACGGGAGGCAGCAGUGGGGAAUCUUGCGCAAUGGGCGAAAGCCUGACGCAGCAACGCCGCGUGGAGGAUGAAGGCCCUUGGGUUGUAAACUCCUGUCGGCUGGGAAGAACUCGUACGAUGCUCAUACCAUCGUGCGUUGACUGUACCAGCAAAGGAAGCCCCGGCUAACUCUGUGCCAGCAGCCGCGGUAAUACAGAGGGGGCUAGCGUUAUUCGGAAUUAUUGGGCGUAAAGGGCGCGUAGGCGGCCUUGCGUGUCUUUCGUGAAAUCCCUCGGCUUAACUGAGGACGUGCGGAAGAAACUGCAGGGCUUGAGUCCGGGAGAGGGGGGUGGAAUUCCCAGUGUAGCGGUGAAAUGCGUAGAUAUUGGGAGGAACACCGGUGGCGAAGGCGGCCCCCUGGACCGGUACUGACGCUGAGGCGCGAAAGCGUGGGGAGCAAACGGGAUUAGAUACCCCGGUAGUCCACGCCGUAACGAUGGGCACUUGGUGUCGCGGGUAUCGACCCCUGCGGUGCCGAAGCUAACGCAUUAA
This 630-nucleotide ribosomal RNA is filed under the name uncultured Acidobacteriota bacterium. RNAcentral describes it as "SSU rRNA". It matches the Rfam family "Bacterial small subunit ribosomal RNA", at positions 242 to 863 of the family's 1533-position model. Lineage: Bacteria; Pseudomonadati; Acidobacteriota. The record is from RNAcentral.